UCUAUCUGUGUGUGUGUGUGUGUGUGUGUGUGUGUGUUGUUAUCCCUCUCUCAGAUCUGCAUUACAGUGCUGGUGUACUUGAGCUGCAUCUUUGAAAGUGAGCACUCGUGCAGUAGUCUAAUACAUAGUGCAAUGCAGUAUUUCCAUGUCGCAGAAACAUGCUGUAAGGUCAGACGUGUUGUCCUCCUACCCCCAACUUCCUGUCCUCAUCCCAAAACUUUGUUUGGCCUAUAUUCCGUCAUUGGCCCUUGUCUUGCUGUAAAGUACUGGAGUACUUCAGCUACAUCUUUGGAAGUGAACACUUGUGCAUAGACGGUACUGAGUACUAUGCAGAGGCCUGGAAGAAGUUACAUGGUCAACCCAAACAUAGGUUGUCAGCUGUUGGCUCAACAACAAAGCAGAAAGACAUAGUGGACCACUGGCUAGCCACACCACAUGAUAGUCACAGAGUCUUCUAGAUUGCAAGACUGGUUUACCCAUUGCUUCUGUGACAAGAUGGGUCUUGUGUUCCUGUGAUCGGACAGCUCAACAAUGCAUCAUUCUAACUGACACCAGAUGGAUUGAUCUUUUCUGCUGAUCAGAUGGGUUUUCAGAUUGUCCGUCUGGCCACAGGGGGACCACUACACUGGCAAUGGCUUGGGUUUGCCUUAGGGUCCGCCAACCAUAGAGGUUUCUGCCCAAAUCAACCAGCGGUCAACAGGUGCUGCUGGCCAGAGGAUCUAAAUUUUUGUCAUGAUAACCUGUUUUUUUUUGUAAAUAACACUAUAGAUUAUGGAUUAUUCCAAGGAAGACACACACUGAUCAAUACAUACUUAUCUUAAGGGACACAAAGAUAGGAAGGACUCCAUCCACUAAUAUUGGACAUACAGUAUGGUGUCAUUGUCUUGUGUAUCCAUCCAAUGCAAAGCUAGAUUAAUAUGCAAUACUUGCAAUAAUUUGUUAUGCCAUGUGAAAUGAUUUGGUUAAAGUUAAAAACCACACUCGUAUGCAUUAGCUCUUGCAAAAAUAUUUAAUGGAGCAUGUCUACAACAGACCUGUAUGGGCCCUAGGCCAUGCUGGGGCCGAUACGCUGAUGAUGGCCUAGAGCCGAAACGUGUCCGUUUGUAGACAUGGCUUUAAAAAAAAAAUGUUUUCAUGUCUUUCUUAGAACUCACACCCAAAGAGGUCUUUUAUUUUUUUGGAGUUGAGCAUGCCUGUUCCUGUGUAUCUUUUUGUUUUUUUGGUGCCUUUGCUCACGCUACCAUGUAUUAGGUUUGUGUAGUGCUGAAUGUAUUAGUGAAGCUGAACACCUUUGCUGUGAUUUAUCUGUAUGGAAGAAUCCCCUGGUUAAAGAAAUCACACCUUUUACCUUUGACCUUGAUACAUAAAUGUAUGUUGUGCUGAAAUAAAGCAAUUUCAC
Molecule: long non-coding RNA, 1399 nt
Organism: Alosa sapidissima (American shad)
Lineage: Eukaryota; Metazoa; Chordata; Actinopteri; Clupeiformes; Clupeidae
Exons: 4
Source: RefSeq, a predicted model, not a curated record